ACACUAUGAAGUGAUUGACCUUAGGACUUUUUACUAUCAUUACGUAUGAGACAAUUAUCGAAAAUUGUCUCCUAAUCAACUUGAAUGGACAUGGUGAAUCAGAAGGUGACAUAGACAUUCAGGGAAUGUAAAUUAUGUUACCAAUGUUCUUUCAUACAUAAUUUUUUCCUCAAUGACGUGAUUUUCUAACUUUGUUACAAUUAAUCUUGUUCCAUUAAAAAACCCUUCAUCAUGGACCAAAUUUCUCAUUAGCAUAAUG
This 259-nucleotide long non-coding RNA is filed under the name Lathyrus oleraceus (garden pea). Its description in RNAcentral is "Pisum sativum (pea) long non-coding RNA (PSAT_LNC023740)". The record is from RNAcentral. Lineage: Eukaryota; Viridiplantae; Streptophyta; Magnoliopsida; Fabales; Fabaceae.